UAUUUUUUUGAAGUGAAUUAAUAAUUCACCCACUCAAAAUAUAUUUAUAAUAAUUGACUGGAGGGCAUCCAGGACUGGAUCCAGCGAAGGCUGAAAGAAUAACAGAGGAUAAUUGAAGGAUAUUAACUGUCAGUCCAGCAGAAACAGAAGGCAUCAGGCAAGCUGGCUAGUUUAGUUAUAAACUAAAGUUAUAAAGGCCCGUAACUUGCUUUAUAGCAAAACUAUUCACUCGGAAUUUAAUCUUUCAUCCAAAUCCAUCAGAGGAGGCUAAUGGACCAAUGAAAAAGACUUGGGAAUACCCAAAACAUAAAAGGUUAUUAACUUUAGGAAGCCGAACAUUACCGUCAUGGCAUUAUUCAAUUAUCCAAAGCCCGAGGAUCUACUAAAAAAUUAUUCGCGUUCAUUUCCAUCUCCAUUGUUGCAGCGAUGAAUGAUCGAUUCCGCUCGGUAAGUUUUUCACAAUAUACUUCAAUAUAAAUUGUAUCGUUAAU
Cotesia glomerata is the source of this 491-nucleotide long non-coding RNA. RefSeq lists it as uncharacterized. The record is from RefSeq and is a predicted model, not a curated record. The transcript is spliced from 3 exons. Lineage: Eukaryota; Metazoa; Arthropoda; Insecta; Hymenoptera; Braconidae.